This 253-nucleotide ribosomal RNA is filed under the name uncultured bacterium. RNAcentral's name for it is "partial 16S ribosomal RNA". It matches the Rfam family "Bacterial small subunit ribosomal RNA", at positions 524 to 776 of the family's 1533-position model. The record is from RNAcentral.
GACGAAGGAUGCAAGCGUUAUCCGGAUUCAUUGGGUUUAAAGGGUGCGUAGGCGGACUGGUAAGUCAGUGGUGAAAUCUCUUUGCUUAACAAAGAAACUGCCAUUGAUACUGCUAGUCUAGAGUAUAGAUGACGUUGGCGGAAUAUGACAUGUAGUGGUGAAAUACUUAGAUAUGUCAUAGAACACCGAUUGCGAAGGCAGCUAACGAAACUAUAACUGACGCUGAGACACGAAAGCGUGGGUAGCAAACAGG